GAACGGAUAGUUUAAUGGCAAAACACCAAUCUUCCCUGAUUCAUUUAUUUAUCCGUAAGGGUCGCUGAAUUUAGGGUUAUCGCCUGUUAAGCGGGAGAUGGAGGUUCGAUUCCUCCUCCGUUCGCCA
RNAcentral lists this transfer RNA (127 nucleotides) under Picosynechococcus sp. PCC 7002. RNAcentral's name for it is "tRNA-Und (NNN) (tRNA-Und-NNN-2-1)". It matches the Rfam family "tRNA". From Rfam's summary of the family: Transfer RNA (tRNA) molecules are approximately 80 nucleotides in length. Their secondary structure includes four short double-helical elements and three loops (D, anti-codon, and T loops). Further hydrogen bonds mediate the characteristic L-shaped molecular structure. tRNAs have two regions of fundamental functional importance: the anti-codon, which is responsible for specific mRNA codon recognition, and the 3' end, to which the tRNAs corresponding amino acid is attached (by aminoacyl-tRNA synthetases). tRNAs cope with the degeneracy of the genetic code in two manners: having more than one tRNA (with a specific anti-codon) for a particular amino acid; and 'wobble' base-pairing, i.e. permitting non-standard base-pairing at the 3rd anti-codon position. Lineage: Bacteria; Bacillati; Cyanobacteriota; Cyanophyceae; Chroococcales; Geminocystaceae. The record is from RNAcentral.